GUGUACUGGAUAGUACGAACUGGUUAUUCAAUGUAUUAGGUUUAUCCAACUCGUUGAAAGACUGGGGCAGUAAAUUUCUAGUAAUUUGGCUCGGCCUUAUAACAACAAACUAAGUUUGACCUCAAAUCAGGUAGGAUUACCCGCUGAACUUAAGCAUAUCAAUAAGCGGAGGAAAAGAAACCAACAGGGAUUGCCUUAGUAGCGGCGAGUGAAGCGGCAAUAGCUCAAAUUUGAAAUCUGGCGCCUUCGGUGUCCGAGUUGUAAUUUGAAGAAGGUAUCUUUGGUUUUGGCUCUUGUCUAUGUUCCUUGGAACAGGACGUCACAGAGGGUGAGAAUCCCGUGCGAUGAGAUGCCCAAUUCCAUGUAAAGUUCCUUCGACGAGUCGAGUUGUUUGGGAAUGCAGCUCUAAGUGGGUGGUAAAUUCCAUCUAAAGCUAAAUAUUGGCGAGAGACCGAUAGCGAACAAGUACUGUGAAGGAAAGAUGAAAAGAACUUUGAAAAGAGAGUGAAAAAGUACGUGAAAUUGUUGAAAGGGAAGGGCUUGAGAUCAGACUUGAUAUUUUCCCGUCUCGGGAGCUUAUCGGGCCAGCAUCAGUUUGGAUAGCAGGAUAAUUGCGUAGGAAAGUAGCUCUGCUUCGGUAGUGUGUUAUAGCCUGCGUCGAUACUGCUUGUCUAGACUGAGGACUGCGUCUUUGACUAGGAUGCUGGCAUAAUGAUCUUAAGCCGCCCGUCUUGAAACACGGACCAAGGAGUCUAACGUCUAUGCGAGUGUUUGGGUGUAAAACCCGUACGCGUAAUGA
RNAcentral lists this ribosomal RNA (799 nucleotides) under Yamadazyma tammaniensis. Its description in RNAcentral is "LSU rRNA". The stretch from base 117 to 799 matches the Rfam family "Eukaryotic large subunit ribosomal RNA", at positions 1 to 722 of the family's 3401-position model. The record is from RNAcentral. Lineage: Eukaryota; Fungi; Ascomycota; Pichiomycetes; Serinales; Debaryomycetaceae.